GCCAGCAGCCGCGGUAAUUCCAGCUCCAAUAGCGUACGUUAAAGUUGCUGCAGUUAAAAAGCUCGUAGUUGAAGUUCUGGCUGUAUUGGGCCUCUGCACUUGAUGCGAAGGAACCAGCAGUCAUCCGCUUGCAAAUACAUGUUCUUCCUUAACCGGUAGACUGUAUAAGUAAGCAAUUUACCUUGAGAAAAACAGAGUGUUCCAGGCAGGUUUGUCCGGAAUGCAUUAGCAUGGAAUAAUAGAAUAUGACUAGAGUCGAUUUGUUGGUUAAAGGCUUUAGUAAUGAUUAAUAGGAACAAUCGGGGGCAUUGGUACUCGUCAGUCAGAGGUGAAAUUCUAAGAUUUGACGAAGACUAACUGAUGCGAAAGCGUUUGCCAAGAAUUGUUUUCAUUAAUCAAGAACGAAAGUUAGGGGAU
Molecule: ribosomal RNA, 417 nt
Filed under: uncultured eukaryote
Lineage: Eukaryota
Description: SSU rRNA
Rfam family: Eukaryotic small subunit ribosomal RNA
Source: RNAcentral